GCGGGGAUAGCUCAGCUGGGAGAGCGUCGUAAGUAGUGAAACUGUGCUAGUUCCUUAGACUUUGUUUAAUCUCUAACCCUCCAUAGAGACUGAAGACAAACUUCAAUCUUGAAAUCUGAAGGUCGUGUGUUCGAUCCACACUCACCGCA
Non-coding RNA from Hypoxylon sp. FL0890, 149 nucleotides. The record is from the annotation of a GenBank genome assembly. NCBI's taxonomy places the organism in Eukaryota, Fungi, Ascomycota, Sordariomycetes, Xylariales, Hypoxylaceae.